This 255-nucleotide ribosomal RNA is filed under the name Shouchella clausii. RNAcentral's name for it is "partial 23S ribosomal RNA". It matches the Rfam family "Bacterial large subunit ribosomal RNA", at positions 1428 to 1678 of the family's 2925-position model. RNAcentral also lists the same sequence under 2 other names. Lineage: Bacteria; Bacillati; Bacillota; Bacilli; Caryophanales; Bacillaceae. The record is from RNAcentral.
GGUUGAUAUUCCUGUACCACCUCGUAUUCGUUUGAACGAUGGGGGGACGCAGAAAGGUAGGGUGAGCGCGCCGCUGGCUGUGCGCGUCGAAGCAUGCGAGGCUGGAACAUAGGCAAAUCCGUGUUCCAUAAGGCUGAGCUGUGACCGUGAAGGACCUUCGGGUCCGAAAUCCCUGAUCCUCCGCUGCCGAGAAAAGCCUCUAGUGAGAAUACAGGUGCCCGUACCGCAAACCGACACAGGUAGGCGAGAAGAGAA